UUAUUUUGGCAGUCUGUAACAGGCUUUGGCUUCCAAGGAAAGUUCAGAUUUUAUUUGCUCUAAUAACCGUUUGUCUGUUUUUUGCAGCCCAUCUUUCCUCCAGCGCCGUAUUUCAGACGAGUUGGCUCUCUUCCUAUCCGCUUUCUUCGCCGUCCGACUUUCACAAAAUUGAAAUUGACUUUUGCACAGACCAUCUUCACCUUAUUUCUCUUUACGCUUCAGGACCUUGCCUAGUUCCUUCCUAGCUGCCCUUCCAGGUCCUAGUCGUCUUCCGAUUUCUUGGCUGCGGUUUCGCAUCUGAUCCAAGUUUCUUCCAGAUGUAUCGGCCUACAAGUCCCAUCGUCCUCGGUCAGCAUGAGGGAUGAUGCUGGAAGAAUGCACACCAGAUUUAUUGACAUGCGUUAUCUUUGAUAUCGAAGAUAUCCUCUUUCGUCCUCAUCCCACCACCGCCUUUGGUUUAAAUUCCACACCAGAAUUGCUGUGACUUCUGCUUUUUCAGGGCAUGAAGAGUUAUGACCAGA
Molecule: long non-coding RNA, 521 nt
Organism: Sceloporus undulatus (fence lizard)
Lineage: Eukaryota; Metazoa; Chordata; Lepidosauria; Squamata; Phrynosomatidae
Exons: 3
Source: RefSeq, a predicted model, not a curated record